RNAcentral lists this ribosomal RNA (381 nucleotides) under uncultured eukaryote. RNAcentral describes it as "partial 18S ribosomal RNA". It matches the Rfam family "Eukaryotic small subunit ribosomal RNA", at positions 592 to 976 of the family's 1831-position model. The record is from RNAcentral.
CAAUAGCGUAUAUUAAAGCUGUUGCGGUUAAAAAGCUCGUAGUUGGAUUUCUGUCAAGGACAACUGGUCCGCCCUCCGGGUGAGCACAUAGUUUGGUCUUGACAUCUUGCUGGAAGCUGUUGCUGCACUUGGCUGUGUGGCGCAGUGUUCAGCACUUUCACUUUGAGGAAAUUGGAGUGUUUCAAGCAGGCACAUGCCUUUGGACACAGUAGCAUGGAAUAAUUAGAUUGGGCUUUUGCUCCAAUUUGUCGGUUUCUGGAGCUGAGGUGAGUAUUAAUGGGGAUUGUUGGGGGCAUCCGAUUUUAGCCGUCAGAGGUGAAAUUCUUGGAUCUGCUAAAGACGGACAACUGCGAAAGCGUUUGCCCAGGAUGUUUUCAUUAA